Pangasianodon hypophthalmus (striped catfish) is the source of this 967-nucleotide long non-coding RNA. RefSeq lists it as uncharacterized. The transcript is spliced from 3 exons. Lineage: Eukaryota; Metazoa; Chordata; Actinopteri; Siluriformes; Pangasiidae. The record is from RefSeq and is a predicted model, not a curated record.
GUGAGAGGAGGCAACGCCUCCAUCGCGCUAUAAUUGGAUGUGAUAGGUUAUGAUUGGAUGUAAUAGGUUAUGAUUGGAUGUGAUCGGUUAUGAUUGGAUGUGAUCGGUUAUGAUUGGAUGUGAUAGGUUCGUUCGAUAAAUCCCGCCUCUUGUUUUCGUGCGAGCUCUCGGCCGGAAUGGACGAAAUGAUGGCGUACUGACUAAUUAUAAAGCCCUGAUCACCAAAGAUGAGUUUUGGCAGCAUUGGAUACCAACAAAACACUCUGUUCACUCUUCAGUGAGCACCUUAUAUCAGCAUCUAGGCCUCAGGAAAGAAAAGAAGGACUUAAAUAGUAACUGCACAUCCUGAGACUUCCUUGUGUGGGAUUGAAGGGAGAGGGUGGACUUCUUUGAUGACUAGGUCUGUUUUGACAUUCCAGGAACAAUACCUACUUACUGCUUCUAAGAAAAGUGUAGCUUAAAAAAGCCACUUUAGUGGAAACAUUGUAGGCUCCAAAAAAAGUGUCCACGUCAUGGAAGGCCACAGGACAUCUUUUAAUUAUGUCUAGUAGCUGGCAAUUGGGGAAGAGGAAGCCCUAUCAUGGCAGGAAAGAUAGGAGAUGCACUUAAAGGCACUGGAUCAAGAGAGCAGCACUUAAAGAGAGGACUCUUUAACAGAAGUGGAGGUAGAUUACCCUGUCACUACCUCUAUGUCUUUUGCUUUUUUAAUCACACCAUGCCCUAAAAUUGUGCUAUUCUUUCAUUUUCACAGUAAAAUAUAUCAGUAAUGCUUUAUAUAAAGGGCCUUCAUAAGCAUUGCAUAAAUCUUUGCUGUGGUAUAAAUUAUUUUAAUGCUACGAAGUGCUUAAAAAAAAUUAAAAAUUAUUUUAUGCUACGAACUAAGUAGUAAGAUUUAUGAAUAUCUUAUGUAUGUGCUAUAAAGGCACUAUGUAGGUGCCCUUCAAAUAAAAUGCUACCGAAGAAUCUU